This 706-nucleotide ribosomal RNA is filed under the name uncultured bacterium. RNAcentral describes it as "bacterial SSU rRNA". It matches the Rfam family "Bacterial small subunit ribosomal RNA", at positions 62 to 766 of the family's 1533-position model. The record is from RNAcentral.
UCGAACGGAGCACCCCUGAAGGAGUUUUCGGACAACGGAUGGGAAUGCUUAGUGGCGGACUGGUGAGUAACGCGUGAGGAACCUGCCUUCCAGAGGGGGACAACAGUUGGAAACGACUGCUAAUACCGCAUGAUGCGUUGGAGCCGCAUGACUCUGACGCCAAAGAUUUAUCGCUGGAAGAUGGCCUCGCGUCUGAUUAGCUAGUUGGUGAGGUAACGGCCCACCAAGGCGACGAUCAGUAGCCGGACUGAGAGGUUGGCCGGCCACAUUGGGACUGAGAUACGGCCCAGACUCCUACGGGAGGCAGCAGUGGGGAAUAUUGGGCAAUGGGCGCAAGCCUGACCCAGCAACGCCGCGUGAAGGAAGAAGGCUUUCGGGUUGUAAACUUCUUUUAAGGGGGAAGAGCAGAAGACGGUACCCCUUGAAUAAGCCACGGCUAACUACGUGCCAGCAGCCGCGGUAAUACGUAGGUGGCAAGCGUUGUCCGGAUUUACUGGGUGUAAAGGGCGUGCAGCCGGAGAGACAAGUCAGAUGUGAAAUCCACGGGCUCAACCCGUGAACUGCAUUUGAAACUGUUUCCCUUGAGUGUCGGAGAGGUAAUCGGAAUUCCUUGUGUAGCGGUGAAAUGCGUAGAUAUUAGGAAGAACACCAGUGGCGAAGGCGGAUUACUGGACGAUAACUGACGGUGAGGCGCGAAAGCGUGGGG